RNAcentral lists this ribosomal RNA (394 nucleotides) under uncultured Methylobacterium sp. Its description in RNAcentral is "bacterial SSU rRNA". It matches the Rfam family "Bacterial small subunit ribosomal RNA", at positions 524 to 916 of the family's 1533-position model. Lineage: Bacteria; Pseudomonadati; Pseudomonadota; Alphaproteobacteria; Hyphomicrobiales; Methylobacteriaceae. The record is from RNAcentral.
UACGAAGGGGGCUAGCGUUGCUCGGAAUCACUGGGCGUAAAGGGCGCGUAGGCGGCGUUUUAAGUCGGGGGUGAAAGCCUGUGGCUCAACCACAGAAUGGCCUUCGAUACUGGGACGCUUGAGUAUGGUAGAGGUUGGUGGAACUGCGAGUGUAGAGGUGAAAUUCGUAGAUAUUCGCAAGAACACCGAUGGCGAAGGCGGCUCUCUGGUCUGUAACUGACGCUGAGGCUCGAAAGCGUGGGGAGCAAACAGGAUUAGAUACCCUGGUAGUCCACGCCGUAAACGAUGAGUGCUAAGUGUUGGAGGGGUUCCACCCUUCAAUGCUGGAGUUAACGCAAUAAGCACUCCGCCUGGGGAGUACGGCCGCAAGGCUGAAACUCAGAGGAAUUGACGG